CGGAAUCUACUUUUUCGUGGGGGAUAACGUAGGGAAACUUACGCUAAUACCGCAUACGACCUACGGGUGAAAGCAGGGGACCUUCGGGCCUUGCGCGAUUGAAUGAGCCGAUGUCGGAUUAGCUAGUUGGCGGGGUAAAGGCCCACCAAGGCGACGAUCCGUAGCUGGUCUGAGAGGAUGAUCAGCCACACUGGAACUGAGACACGGUCCAGACUCCUACGGGAGGCAGCAGUGGGGAAUAUUGGACAAUGGGCGCAAGCCUGAUCCAGCCAUACCGCGUGGGUGAAGAAGGCCUUCGGGUUGUAAAGCCCUUUUGUUGGGAAAGAAAUCCAGCCGGCUAAUAUCUGGUUGGGAUGACGGUACCCAAAGAAUAAGCACCGGCUAACUUCGUGCCAGCAGCCGCGGUAAUACGAAGGGUGCAAGCGUUACUCGGAAUUACUGGGCGUAAAGCGUGCGUAGGUGGUUGUUUAAGUCUGUUGUGAAAGCCCUGGGCUCAACCUGGGAACUGCAGUGGAAACUGGACGACUAGAGUGUGGUAGAGGGUAGCGGAAUUCCUGGU
This 559-nucleotide ribosomal RNA is filed under the name uncultured bacterium. RNAcentral describes it as "bacterial SSU rRNA". It matches the Rfam family "Bacterial small subunit ribosomal RNA", at positions 119 to 674 of the family's 1533-position model. The record is from RNAcentral.